This 452-nucleotide ribosomal RNA is filed under the name uncultured bacterium. Its description in RNAcentral is "bacterial SSU rRNA". It matches the Rfam family "Bacterial small subunit ribosomal RNA", at positions 354 to 796 of the family's 1533-position model. The record is from RNAcentral.
GUCGAGGAUCAUUCGCAAUGCGCGAAAGCGUGACGGUGCGACGCCGCGUGCAGGAUGAAGGCCUUCGGGUUGUAAACUGCUGUCAGGAGGGAGCAACUGAUCUGUACGUGAAUAACGUAUGGAAGUGAUAGUACCUCCAGAGGAAGCCACGGCUAACUCUGUGCCAGCAGCCGCGGUAAUACAGAGGCGGCGAGCGUUGUUCGGAUUUACUGGGCGUAAAGGGUGCGUAGGCGGUUCCGCAUGUCGGAUGUGAAAUCUCACUGCUUAACGGUGGAAUGGCAUUCGAAACUGCGGGGCUGGAGUUCGGGAGAGGAGAGCGGAAUUCCUGGUGUAGCGGUGAAAUGCGUAGAUAUCAGGAGGAACACCGGUGGCGAAGGCGGCUCUCUGGACCGAUACUGACGCUGAGGCACGAAAGCUGGGGAAGCAAACAGGAUUAGAUACCCGGGUAGUCC